AUGCAGUCGACGCACUGUGGUUCAACUGAUUUGAAGAGCUUGCUCUGAUAUGACGAUGAACAUUGCAGUGAGUGGCGAACGGGUGAGUAACACGUGGGAAACCUACCUCUUAGCGGGGGAUAACAUCUGGAAACAGAUGCUAAUACCGCAUAACACUAGCAACCGCAUGGUUGCUAUUUGAAAGAUGGUUCUGCUAUCACUAAGAGAUGGUCCCGCGGCGCAUUAGUUAGUUGGUGAGGUAAUGGCUCACCAAGACGAUGAUGCGUAGCCGAGUUGAGAGACUGAUCGGCCACAAUGGGACUGAGACACGGCCCAUACUCCUACGGGAGGCAGCAGUAGGGAAUCUUCCACAAUGGACGAAAGUCUGAUGGAGCAACGCCGCGUGUGUGAUGAAGGGUUUCGGCUCGUAAAACACUGUUGUAAGAGAAGAAUAGCAUUGAGAGUAACUGCUCAGUGUCUGACGGUAUCUUACCAGAAAGGAACGGCUAAAUACGUGCCAGCAGCCGCGGUAAUACGUAUGUUCCAAGCGUUAUCCGGAUUUAUUGGGCGUAAAGCGAGCGCAGACGGUUAUUUAAGUCCGAAGUGAAAGCCCACAGCUUAACUGUGGAAGUGCUUUGGAAACUGGAUAACUUGAGUGCAGUAGAGGAGAGUGGAAUUCCAUGUGUAGCGGUGAAAUGCGUAGAUAUAUGGAGGAACACCAGUGGCGAAGGCGGCUCUCUGGACUGUAACUGACGUUGAGGCUCGAAAGUGUGGGUAGCAAACAGGAUUAGAUACCCUGGUAGUCCACACCGUAAACGAUG
Molecule: ribosomal RNA, 800 nt
Filed under: Weissella ceti
Lineage: Bacteria; Bacillati; Bacillota; Bacilli; Lactobacillales; Lactobacillaceae
Description: bacterial SSU rRNA
Rfam family: Bacterial small subunit ribosomal RNA
Source: RNAcentral